GACGAACGCUGGCGGCGUGCUUAACACAUGCAAGUCGAACGGAAAGGCCCUGCUUUUGUGGGGUGCUCGAGUGGCGAACGGGUGAGUAACACGUGAGUAACCUGCCCUUGACUUUGGGAUAACUUCAGGAAACUGGGGCUAAUACCGGAUAGGAGCUCCUGCUGCAUGGUGGGGGUUGGAAAGUUUCGGCGGUUGGGGAUGGACUCGCGGCUUAUCAGCUUGUUGGUGGGGUAGUGGCUUACCAAGGCUUUGACGGGUAGCCGGCCUGAGGGGGUGACCGGCCCAUUGGGGAUGGGGAUACGGCCAGACCCCAUGGGGGGGCAGCCGGGGGGAAUAUUGCAAAAGGGGGGGGAGCCGUAAGCAGCCACCGCCGGGUGGGGAGUGCGGCCGUUGGGUUGUAAACCCCUUUCGCCUGGGGCGAAGGGUGGGGGGAGGUGAGGGGGAAAAGAAGCCCCGGCUAACUAGGGG
RNAcentral lists this ribosomal RNA (468 nucleotides) under uncultured bacterium. RNAcentral's name for it is "partial 16S ribosomal RNA". It matches the Rfam family "Bacterial small subunit ribosomal RNA", at positions 28 to 507 of the family's 1533-position model. The record is from RNAcentral.